Molecule: transfer RNA, 73 nt
Filed under: Marmota monax (woodchuck)
Lineage: Eukaryota; Metazoa; Chordata; Mammalia; Rodentia; Sciuridae
Description: tRNA.Val
Source: RNAcentral
GUGGGGUUGUGGCUCAGAGGUAAAGUGCUCGCUUAACAUGAGUGAGGCACUGGGUUCGAUCCUCAGCACCACA